UCCUGUAUCGAAAGUGACCACGGCGUCCCCAUCGCCGUGGUCAUCGAUAGUACAGGAAGACCAACCUGCGAGCCUUUCCCGUGUUUGAAGGAUCCUCUGUUCCUAUCAGACCCUGGCGCUCCCAGACA
Molecule: small nucleolar RNA, 128 nt
Organism: Sander lucioperca (pikeperch)
Lineage: Eukaryota; Metazoa; Chordata; Actinopteri; Perciformes; Percidae
Gene: SNORA71
Rfam family: Small nucleolar RNA SNORA71
About the family: The members of this family belong to the H/ACA class of snoRNAs which bind a number of proteins (including dyskerin, Gar1p and Nop10p) to form snoRNP complexes.
Source: Ensembl